Molecule: transfer RNA, 72 nt
Filed under: Cordylochernes scorpioides
Lineage: Eukaryota; Metazoa; Arthropoda; Arachnida; Pseudoscorpiones; Chernetidae
Description: tRNA-Thr
Rfam family: tRNA
About the family: Transfer RNA (tRNA) molecules are approximately 80 nucleotides in length.
Source: RNAcentral
UCCAGGGUAGCCUAGUGGACAUGGCAUCUGCCCGGUAGGCGAACACUGUGGGUUUGAUUCCCAUCCCUGGAC